CGGACGGGUGAGUAAUGUCUGGGAAACUGCCUGAUGGAGGGGGAUAACUACUGGAAACGGUAGCUAAUACCGCAUAACGUCGCAAGACCAAAGCGGGGGACCUUCGGGCCUCUUGCCAUCGGAUGUGCCCAGAUGGGAUUAGCUAGUAGGUGGGGUAACGGCUCACCUAGGCGACGAUCCCUAGCUGGUCUGAGAGGAUGAUCAGCCACACUGGAACUGAGACACGGUCCAG
RNAcentral lists this ribosomal RNA (232 nucleotides) under uncultured bacterium. RNAcentral's name for it is "partial 16S ribosomal RNA". It matches the Rfam family "Bacterial small subunit ribosomal RNA", at positions 99 to 334 of the family's 1533-position model. The record is from RNAcentral.